Molecule: long non-coding RNA, 41823 nt
Filed under: Ananas comosus (pineapple)
Lineage: Eukaryota; Viridiplantae; Streptophyta; Magnoliopsida; Poales; Bromeliaceae
Description: long non-coding RNA (ACOM_LNC023013)
Source: RNAcentral
UCACUACAACAAAAACGGUCUAUAGCGACACUUUUAAAUGUAGGUACAUGUCAAAAAAAUGCUGCUAGCUAAAAUUACCGACACUUUUAAAAAGUGUUGCUAUAUGUGGGGUCGCUAGGUAUAUAGUGACAGUUAAAGAGUGUCGCUAUAACCUAAAAGAGUGCUGCUAAUUUACAAACACUUAUUUAAGUAUUUAGCAACCGCCGAAACUCUAUAUCGUUGGCUGCGGUGGCGGAGGAGAACGACAGGAAAGGCUCUUCGUCUAAAAUUUCAGUGGAUUGAGUGAAGAGAGAAGAAAAGAUGGUAAUUGAUUUUUCUCUUUUUUUUUUUUCUUUUCUGUUUGUAAUCGUGCCAAAUAGACCGGGUGUGGUGGGUUGAGUAGAGUAAUCUUUUAUUUUUGGUUGGAUUGGGCUUUAUAUUUAGGCAUUAGUAGAUAUUUUUUUAAAGUUUUAGCAUAAAUAGGACACUUACUCAAAAGUGUCCCAAACAUGUGUCGCUGUAAUCUAAUUCUGUUGUAGUGUUGCCACUUGCUCUAGGGACGGUCGGUAACUCAAUUCUAAUAAUUGCGCGACAAUUAUUUGAUUUGAUGUAGAAGUUAUGUGCCUCGUGAAACUCAUAACUGUUUCAAGCUGCUACUACAGAAAUCUCUAGUAACUUUUCUUUUUCUUUUUUUUUUUCUUCUUCCAACGGAGACAAACUAUUUAUUCUUCUGGGGCCAAAAGAGCCAGGAAUUUACCAACCCUAGUAGACAUGAAUGAAUCCCCCUCCAGAAUAUAAAAUAUAAAAUAAAAUAAAAUAAAAAGAAAAAAGAAAAGAAAAGAAAAGAAAAAAGUCUAUGAGCCAGCUCAUAGAGAGUCCUCAACUGCUUCUGCUUUUUUUUUCUCCUUUAGCAACCCCACAAGGCACAACAGUGCUUUUGAAGGAGUCCACACUUUGACUACAACUGGCUUGUGUUUUUCCCUAUCUCACCUUGACCUGUGUGCUUUGUGGUAGUGCACACAUUUUGAAGGCUCAAGUUUCAACUCCAACCAUGUGAGAUGGGUGGGUUAGGGCUUGUUUAAUGAAAUGCUAUUUAAAAGAUACUAUUAGCUAAUUGAAGCACUAUUUUUUAGUUACAUUAUUUACGUUUUCUCUUGGGCAGCUGAGUCAAAAGUUUCGCUUUUAGGCCUUAAAAUUAUAUUUGUCACAAUCUUUACUAACAAACUACCGAUAAUUACGAUCACUUGUGCAGAUUUUUGAUCAUUGGAUAGAUAUAUCUACGAGUUAGCACAAUAUGUUGCUUACUCCACUUGUUGUUAACUUGUUAUUGAACUGCGAUUUUAGAAGAACCACUUAAACAGGCAUAUGAUCACCAGGACAUAACUACUGUGAUAGCUUAAUUAACCUUAAUCGUGCUUAAGAACCAUUUAAGAUUCGCAUAAUAUUAGGAAUAAAUAGCCAGGAUCCAAACUAACCCCAUCUAAUAAUUGGGAGAGGAUAGUACAACCAUAAAUGACAAGCGUCAACAGAUCUCACCAGGGGAGUGUGGAAGAGAGGACCAUUGAAUUGGGUUCACGAGAUAGUGAUAUGGUGUGGGGGUUUAUAUAUAUAUAUAUAUAUAUAUAUAUAUAUAUAUAUAUAUAUAUAUAUAUAUAUAUAUAGAGAGAGAGAGAGAGAGAGAGAGAGAGAGAGAGAGAGAGAGAGAGAGAGAGAGAGAGAGAGUCCGGAUAGGAUACUAUCGAUAGCACAAAGAAUUUGGUGCUAUCGAGUUUUCUCCCGUUAGAUUUAACUCUUUAAUUAUUUUUACCCGUUAGAUUAUACUAUUCAACCAACCACUCACUCAAUCCUAAGGAGUUCACAUCAUCCUAACCACACAUUUCUUAAUCCAAGAGCUGAAAAACUAACAGUAUUUUAGCUAGUUCUCUCUCUCUCUCUCUCUCUCUCUCUCUCUAUAUAUAUAUAUAUAUAGAACUAGGCUAGAAUAUUAUUAAUAGUACUAAGUCAUUAGUGUUAUUAGGUUUUCGGCCCUUGGAUGAAACGAUAAGCGGUUAAGAUUAUGGUGGCUCCCUAGGGUUGAGUAGGUAGUUGAUUGAAUAAUAUGAUUUAAUGGGUGAAAAUGACCAAAAGGAGCGAAAAACUUGGUAGCAUCGAGUGCUUGGUACUAUCGAUAGCAUUGUAGCUGGAUUCUCUCUCUCUCUCUCUCUCUCUCUAUAUAUAUAGAGAGAGAGAGAUAUAUAUAUAUAUAUAGAGAGAGAGAGAGAGAGAGAGUGAGUCCAGCUACUAUACUAUCAAUAGUAUCAAACUCUUAGUAUUAUUGAGUUUUCUGCAAUUAGAUUCUUUGAUUAUUUUCACCCGUUAGAUUAUACUAUUCAACCAACUACCAACUCAACCUUAGGGGACCACUAUCAUCCUAACCGCACAUCCUUUCAUCCAACGGGCGAAAACUCAGAUAGCACAAAAUGUUUGGUACUAUCGAUAAUAUAAUAGCAUAUAUAUAUAUAUAUAUAUAUAUAUAUAUAUAUAAUAUAGAGAGAGAGAGAGAGAGAGAGAGAGAGAGAGAGAGAGAGUCCAGUGUUACUAUGCUAUAUAAUAGGCACGGAAGACAGUUGGUGCUACAAGUGUUCUGCCGGUAGUCUACGCAUUUUGAUCAUUUCACUCGUUAGAUCAUACUAUUUCAACCAAGCCACCUCACCACAACAGAAUUAGGUUAAUAGGGACACAUGUUUGGGACACUUUUUGAGUACAGUGUUCAUUUAUGACCGUAAACUUAAGAAAAUAUACUACUAAUCUUAAAGAUAAAGCCCAUCCAACCAACAAAUAAAAGAUUAACUCUAAACUCAACCCUACAAACCCAGCUCUAUUUGGGGCCUGAUUACUAAAUUCAGAAAAGAACCAAAGAAAAAAAACUCCAUUACAUCUUUUCUUCUCUCUCACAACUCAAUCUAACUGAAAAUUCUAGACGAAAGAGCUUUCCUUCGUUCGUCCUUUCCUCACCCGCCACGAGCCAACAGAGAUAGAUGUUUCGGCGGUGCUAAAUGCUUAAAUAAGUGUUUGUAAAUAGCAAGCACUCUUUUAGGUUAUAGCGACAACUCUUUAACUGUCAUAUAUAUUACCCUACGAGCCCCACAUAAUAGCAACACUUUUUAAAAGUGUCGUAAUUUACUAAGCAGCAGUUUUUUGACAUGUACCUAUCUUGAAAAGUGUCGCUAUAAAUGACCGUUUUUGUUGCCAUUUCUAGUGCCUAUUAAAACCCUUGGGGCCACAUCAUUCUAACCGCACAUCUUAACCAAUGGCCAAAACUUGGGUAGCACCAAUGAUUUGUGCUAUUAAUAGUAUUAUUAACCUAGUUAUAUAUAUAUAUAUAUAUAUAUAUAUAAUUAUAUAGAGCCGCCGGCUACUAUAUCUCUUAUAGCAACCGAACGUCUUUUGUUACUGCAUAAUUUUUUACCUUCGUUGUGUCUACUCUGUUAAUCAUUUUCACUCGUGUAGUAUUAUACUAUUCAACCACCCACACACGUCAACUCCUAGGAAACAUGGGCCCCUAUCACCUAACCGUAACACUCUUCAUCGCCCUACCAGCGCACAUUUUUCAGUCUCUGAACCGGUAAGACCGCGAAUUAGUUUAUGAGUACAUUAAGGCUCUAUACUCAUAUGAGUAUACGUCAGCCCUCACCCUAAAUAUAUAUAUACUGUAUAUAGCGCUGGGGCAACCUAUAGCUCUUAUGAUAUAACACAAUCCGUUCAACUCAUAAAUUUUUAACCGUUGAUAUGAUACGAGUAAUAUUGUAGCCUGGGUUAGGAUGGUGGUCUGAUUGGCUUCCCAACUUUAUGUAAUCAUAAUGUCCCUUAGGGUUGAGUGGAUAUGUUGGUUUGUAAUACUAUAAAAAAAAAAUUAACGGGUAAAAUGAUCAACUGGAAUAAUCUAAGGGCCGAAAUUAUGAGUAUGAAGAAAGACAAAUUUAACUCUAAAAAGUAUAAGUAGCUAAACUCAUCAGACAUAACUGAUAUUAAAAUAGACAUUUAUAUAAUAAAACAUAUAAUAUAUAUAGAUAUUAUAUUAUUAUAUAUAUAUAGAAUUAGGCCUACUAUGCUAUUAUGAGCACAAAGUCAUGUGCUACCAAAGUUGUUUGGCCAUUUGAAUUAAAGAGAUAUUACAUGGUUAGGAUAUGUGGCUCCUAACCGGGUUGAGUGAGUUGUUGGAUUGAUAUAGUAUGAUAAUCUAAUCGAUGAAAAUGAUCAAAAGGGCUACAUCUACGACGCGGAAAAAACUUGGUAGCUCAUAAAACAUAAUCUUCGUUGAUUAUUGGAAUCCAGACCUAGUAGCCGGCCGACUCUAAUAUAUAUACUAUGGCUUAUCAACAGGGCCAAAAACUUAUGAGUAUAAGAAGAACCAAAUAACCUAUAUAAAUAUAUCCCUUCGGACUCUCUCUCUCAUCUUCUCAGAUCGUUCACUAGGAUCCGAGUUAUUGCUUCGCCUCCAUUUUCCCCUUCAGUCCAUAUCCAUUACCAAUUCACAUUUACAAAGACACCCAUUAUUAUGACGAAUCAUCUAAAUAUCCAUAAUCAAAACCCUCUAACCCGUCAUACAAAACCCCAAGUUCGAAAUCCCUAGCUAUCGCUUUCAGGUCACCCAUCACCUGAAUUUAUACGGCAACACUCCCACAGCGUAAUAUAUUGGAAUAUUGAAUCGGAUAGCCAGAUAUUGGUCCAUCAUGAUAAUUGUAUUCAAAUAGCAGGCAGCCAUCGUCAGACAUAACAGUUUGACCAAUCACAAAUCAUCCUAGGAAAAUUCCUAGCAAACUUCCUAACGAUGUGAUUCAACAAUAUGAUUCGCGUUUCCUAGUAGAGCCAAGGCAACAGCCUUGCUCUUACUGCACCAAGGAAUCCAUCACUCCAAGAUAAACCAUACUGAGACGGACCAUGCUCUAUCAUCACGCCUUACAUAUCAGCAUCACAAUUUCCUUAUAAUCCUAAGUCCCUUGAAACAAAACGAAUCACGUUCCUUAAAUUCGAAGCGAUCCAUUGAGACUGCUGCCAAUGAAUAAGUUGUUGCUCUGCAAAGCUCAACUUUAGUCAAGUCAAAACAAAGCAGAUCCCCCGAUACCACAUAGUCCAAACUGAAGCACGUACUGACCUACUCAUCUCUCUUACCUUUAGUGCCUUAAGACCGAUGUGAUUCUUCUCUAUGGUAUCAAUCAUUUAACAACUGAUCCAUCUAAAAGUCAGAAUUUUAUAAGUUCUUAGACCAAACAAGAAGUUCAACAUCACAUCACUACCGAGCACAUAGCUCCUCAACAUGUCUAUUCAAAGUGAGAGACAACACUUAGUGUUGAUUACUCAUGAUGUCAGCCAAUAAUAUCGCGACGUAAGGAUAAACAAAUCCCAUCUCUUUCUUAAUAUAAAACAGUGCCCUUACAUGAUACGAUAGUAGGUAUGCUUACAUAAACCUGAAAUACAUAGCCGACUACUGCUGAGGACAAUAAAUGGAUUUUAAAUCACUAAACUGGUUUUUGUUGAUACCAAAACCUCAGGUUGACCUAGCAAUUCCCUCGCUAAUUCCCCGUGAGAAAGCUGUUAGAUCCAAUUGAUUCCAAAUCUAUCCUAAUAGAUAUCAAACGAAGAAUCGCAAAUCUCUCCAACGGGACGCAACCUCGUGUAUCUACCCUCCUCCUAAGCGUAGCUACCACGACCCUGUAUUAUCGAUUGAUCAAUCCCCUUGCCUUAAUUUAAACACAUUUAUUUUUCAAUAACUGAGAGGUCAAGCUCCAUUCCCAUCAUUGUCUGCCAUGAAGUCACUCAUCUCUAUCUUCAUAAGCAACCACACUGCAGCUCCGUGCACUCUAUGAUGUCUGCAAGCUUCUUUAUAAGAAGAGUCUCACGGCCAUACCAUAAAUAUUCCCCCUUCCGCUCAAAAAGUCCGGGCAGAAUAUUCCACUUUCACUUCUACCAAUGGAGGUCCGGAACUCGACUCAGUACUCAUUCAACAGCAUCAACUAGCCGAAGGAAGAAUACCGGCAGCUCUUCACUUCGGAUUCGAAGACAAUCCCUCUAACGUAAGAUAGGGGUUACGGCCUUACUCAUCAUCCGACGUUCUCCAUUUACAAUGCUUGAAAAAUCCUUUCUAGAAUUCACAUCACUGACCAAUCCGGUCAUAACCACAGCUGUUCCCAUACAUCACUACUCGAAUCCAGGUAUUGAAACACUGCGCUCGCUUUGGCGGUUCCCAGAUAUUUAUUGGCCUGACAUAUAACUGAACCAAAGGUGUAAUUAUAAACUUUCUCUAUCCCACCGAUCCGUCAUUGUGCAUAGAUCUGCACUUGUGCAUCGGAAACGAUUAGAUUGUAUCACUUGCAUCAUAAACAGUCUCUCCAAAAUUUAUAGAAUGCCACUUUAAGGUGCAGGUAUCUGCAAACAUUACUAAUAAAUACGUCCUGUCGUCGCAACAUCCAUUGUUCGAGUAGACCCGAAUAGGUUACUGUCGACAAUCUCCAUCUUCGCAUUCUCACAAAAAACUUUGAACUGAUUAGCCAAAGCAACAAUAUGUAGUACACCGCCCGCUGACUGAACUCCGCCCGAUCGCACCGAUUCACGGUUCGAUCCACGUCACUGGCGACGUACAACACCCGUCUCAUUUGACUGCUCCCGCCAAUCGCAACCCGCGUUCGCAGCAAUCUAACUUCAUCAAAUGGUAAACUAUAACACUAGACCCCCUAUCCAUAUAAAAUCAUGAAAGUAGAAAAUAGAACACAUAAUCGGUAUCCCUCACAUUCUGGCCAAUAAAGCGACGCGUACAUCAGUUCGCGCACAGCAGGUGCUCUAUUCUCUAUAUAUAAUAUCAUAUAUAUAUAUAUUAUAUAUAUAGUCCGACUACUAUACUAUCGUGCACGGAAGGCUCCGUGCUACCAAUUAUUUUGAUGGCGGCUGCCACUCGAUGAUCGCUCGUAUAACUUUGAUCUACUACUAUUGAAAAGUAUUUGGGAAACAAAUUUCAAAUUAUUUCAACAUAUUAUGAACUCAGUGAUCAAACGAUCUCAAAUUGACAAUUAUUGUCGAUGUGGGUGUUCUUGAAGUUUAACGGGUAAAACAAUCAAAUCGAUGAAAUUUUAUUGAAAAUUCUAUUUCCAUUAUUUAGUAGUAAGAUCAGUAUAUCUGAUCUUGAUUAAUAAUUUAUCAUCAUUUUUAUGAAUUUUAACUUUUUAGCCGUUCAAUUUAGAUAUACUUUUGUUGUGAUAGGUAAUAGUGAUCGAAAUUAUGAAAUUAAGUGUCUAAAUACUUUUAAUAGUGGUAGAUCAAGUCUAACGGCAGCCGAUCGUUGCGAUUUGAAAAUCGCAUCAUCGAAAAAACAACAUUGGUAGCAGCGGAGCCUCCCCGUGCUAUCGACAGUAUAGGCAGCCAGACAUAUAUAGUAUAUAUACUAUAUCUAUAUAUAUAUAUAUAUAAUUAUAUAUAUAUAUAUAUAUCAAUAUAAUAAUAUAUUAUACUAUAGUCUGGCUGGGGUACUAUCGAUAGCUACAGGAUUUGGUGGCUAUCGAGUUUUGUCGUCGUUUAGAUUUAAUUCUUUGAUUAUUUUUGCCCGUUUUAGAUUAAUACCUAUUCAACACCGCUACUCAGAAGCCCUAGGCCCCACAUCAUCCUAGACCACUCCAUUUCUCACAUCGCAGGGCAAAAUCACUAGCAGCUAAAUAGUUUGUGCUAUUGAAGUAUUAUCAGCCUAUAUAUAUACGUAAUACAAGCUAGGCUCGCUAUAUACUAUCGGUAGUCAUGUGACGCUCUCCGUGCUAAUCAAAGUUGUUUUCAAUGAUGCCGCUUCCAAAUCGAGAGAUUGGCAAAGGAGACUUGAUUUACACUAUUAAAAGUAUUUGAAACUAAUUUCCAUAAUUUUCGGUAUCAAUUUACCUAUUCAACUGAAUAGUCUAAAAAUAAAACGGCUGAAAAUAAAAUCUCAUAAAAAAUAAUGAUAGAAGACUUGAAUUUAAGGUCAGAGGUACUGAACGCUUACUCUAAAUAGUAAAAAGAAUUUUCUAUAAAAAUUUAUAAGCUGAUUUGAAUUUUUACAAUCCGGUUAAUUUACAAAUACAUACAUAUCUACAUUAAAAUUAUCAAUUUUGAGACCCUUUGAUACUAGCCAAAGAUGUCGAAAAUUCUGAAAUUUAAGAGUUUCCAAAUACUGUUUAAUAGUGUAGAUUAACUCUAAUGGCCGAUCGUCGAUUUGGAAGCCGCAUUCAUCGAAAACAAACUUGGUAGCAGGUAAGCCUCCGUGCCUACCGAUAGUAUAGCAGCUGAACUCUCUUCUCUCUCUCUCUCUCUCUCGCCUUCUCUCUCUCUCUCGCGUUCCCUCCAGUCAUCCUCUCUCUCUCUUCUCUAUUAUAUAUAUAUUUAUAGAGUCCGCCGGCUGCUAUCUAUUGAUAGGGGGCACCAACCACUUGUGCUAAUCAAGUUUUCUGGCGCCGUUAGAGUUAACCCCUUUGAUUAUUUUAACCGUUAGAUUAUACUAUUCACCAACUCACCCACCUCAACCUAAGGGCCCACAUCAGUCUAACGUUACAUUUUUUCAAUCCAAUUGGCUUAAAAAACUAAUAGGCACCAAAAGACUUGGUGCUAUUCGAUAGUAUUCCAGUCUAGUAUACUAUAUAUAUAGUAUAUAUAUAUAUAUAUUAUAUAUUAUCAUAUAUAGAAUACGCUACUAUGCUAUUUUAAUAGCACUUAAGUCAUUGGUGCACUAAUGAUUUUUGGCCAUUGAGAUCUAGCAGUAUGUGUGGUUAGGAUGAUGUGGGUCCACUAGGCUGAGUGGGGGUUGGUUGAUAGUAUGGACUAACGGUGAAAGAUCACAAAGGUAGAUCUAACGGCGGAAAACUGUAGUAUCCAAGUGCCUUGCGUGCUAUUAAUAGCAAUAGUAGCCGACUCUAUAUAAUAAUAUACUAUAUAUAUAGAGUAUAUGCCGGGCUACUAUACUCCUUGAUAGUAUAGACCCUUGUACUUAUAAAUUUUAACCAUUGAUUAAUGGGUUAUGGUAGGAUGAUGGUAGUACACACAACCGCACUUAAGAAUGAUAUGGUACCCAGGGGUUGAGUGGUAGUUUGGUUGGAAUCAGUAUGAAUCUAACGGAUAAAAAUGAUCAAUAAAAUAAAUGCUAAGGACGCGAAAGACUUAUAGUAUAUAGGAACCAAUACUCAUACAAGUAUAGUAGCGCAGACUCUCUCUCUCUCUCGACAGCUACUUGUGUCUCUCACCCAGGAUAAUCUCAUCUCUCUGCUCUCUCCUAUAUAUUAAUAUAUAUUAUAAUAUAUAGCCGUGAGGCUAACAAUAUGCUUUCGAAAGGCAAUGGAGCCUUUUUGUGUUUGCCAGUAUCGUUUUCGAUAGUUCGCGAUUUCGAAUGUCGGAUGGCUCCGUUAAACUUGAUUUAGAGUAUUUGACAAUACCUAGAAAAUAAACUUUAAAUGAUUUUUUGAUAUCAAAAUUUUGCCCUAGUGAAUCGAAGGAACUGCAAAUCAAUAAUUUUAAAGGCGCGUGGUGAGGCGUUUGCAAGUUUAAACGGUAAGACAAAUAUAUCAAUCACGUGCAAAUUUGAAUAGAAAAUUCUUUAAGCUAUAAUAAAACAAGAUCAAGAUUUUUGAUCUAGAAAUUUUAAUGUCAUAUAUCACGUUUUGUAAGAUUUAUUUUCAGCUGUGAUUUGAAUCCGCCUUAGUUCACAUAGGCAAAUUGAAUAUUGAAAAAUCAUACAAUUUAUUUUCUAGGUACUUUUCGAGUAACUUCCAAGAUUAGUUUAACGGAGCCAAUUCGACGAUGUCGAAAAGUUCUAUAUUAUAAUAUAUAGAUAUUAUAUAUAUAUAUAUUUAUAUAUAUAUAUAUAUAUAUAUAUAUAUAUAUAAUAUAUAUAUACUAUAUAUAUAUUCUACCACUACCUAGAGAGAGAGAGAGAGUACCUCCCCUAAACACUCUGUCUCUGUCGUAUUACUCUUUAUUAAAUAUUAAGGAGUGGGGUUAAAGAUGAAUAGAGUGUGGGAUAUACGGUUGUUAUCUGCAAAGGCAAUGCUGCUAUAUAUGUAGUACAUUUGUCCAAGGAUCACCUAAAAACCUAUAGACAAGGUAUAAAAUUUAUCUCUUCUAUAUAUUUACCUGCUAGUCUUAUUAAGUUUUUUAUAUCAAAAUAACAAUGCAUGUACAUUCCAAAAAAGGAUAUAAAUUUACACCCGACCAUCAAAAAGGCCCUUAAUUAUUGCAUUCUUGUCUCGUCAACAUUUUUCAAUUAUAUUAUUACAAAGGUUUUCAAGUCUGAAUCCUGCUAUGUUGCUAGUCUCGUUUUAUAAGAAAUUGUUAUUUAAAAGACCAUGAUUUUGAACACCUAGAUCUUCUGAUUGUCAUAGAACACAUCUAAUAAUUAGAUUCUAAACUUCAAAUGAUCUCUCGUAGAAUUUUAGAUGUGCGAUGUAUAAGAUAUAUCAAUAGGCAAUGUGUAGCGAAUAAUUUUUAGGGAGAAAGUGGGGUUUGAUUAGCUUCCCCACUCAUAAAAUGUUAUAUGAGGCAAGCUUGCCGAGAGCAGUACCGACUGCCUGCUGUACCGUCCCCAAGUCCUUGACGCUUGACCUGGUGGCAGCAGUUUUUACGAAAACAACGCCAGUGUCCGGUGACCACCGUUCGUUCGUAGUUCGUUCGCGCCAGUGUCCGGUCACUACCGUUCGUUCGUAGUUCGUUCGCACCUAACGUAGUUGGUUAAGAAUUUAAAACUAGGGCUACUAUACUCUUAUGAGUAUAGCUCAUUUUGUAUUCAUAAAUUUUUAAUUAUUGGAUAAAGAGAUGUGCGGUUAAGAUGAUAGCGGUCCCUUAAAAUUGAGUAGGUAGUUGGUUGAAUAGUAUGAUCUAACGGGUGGAAAUGAUCAAAAAAAUAGACCUAACGAUAAAAAAUUCAAGAGUAUAAAGGGCACUAUACCAAUAAGAGUAUAGUAGCCGGACUCAUAAUUUAAUGAUUAUUAUCUGAGUUGUCGAAUUCGAAAACUAGUUGUCCUCAUAGUAAAAUAAAAAUAAAAGGAUUAAUUGUAUACAGUUUUCUGUAAAUAUAUCGAAUGAUAAAUAAAUUCUUACAAAGUUCAAUUUUUUAUCUUUAUUCCUUUAAAAGUCUGAUGAUAUUGAUUUUGUUACCGUUAGAGCACAGUUUAUUUUUUUACAGUGGUUAAGUGAAAUGACAUUUUUAUCCUUAUAAAUUUAUCUCUCAAGAAAUUCCAACUGUUAGAAUUAUAUAGAAAUGUCAUCCUCAAAAAUAUUUUACCUAAUAAUAUAAAAGGGAUAAAAAAAAUCAAUUUAACUCAUUUACUAACUAAGAUUAAGUAUUUUACUAAUAGUUAACUAUAUUUUUCUAAUGGAUCCUAAUAGUAGGGGUAUAUUUGAAAACGAGAGGACUUUUGGAGGGAUAAAAGAUGAAAAUAAAAAAUUGAAAUUUGCAUAAAUAUCUGCUAUUCGAUAUAUGUACAGAAAGCUGUACGCAAUUAACCUAAAAUAAAAUUACAUGAUAAUUAAGUGUAAUAUUUUUGAACCACGGAAUAACAAAAUAAGAAUACGCUAAAUCACACAGAGUAGGGGAAAUUGAAGGUUUUUUCUUUAUUUAAUUCCCAUGUUAAGAAGAAUCACAGGAUAGGUGUGGACAAAGUGGUGUCGAGCUCGGGCCAAUGCUGCAGAUCUAAACUCAGACUUGGAUCAAAGAAAGAAUAUUGGAGAAUGGAGAUCCCAAGACAAGUUUGUGUGUGGUACCCAGCACACAUGCAUCAUGAUUCUACAUCGAGAUCCAACACAUAUACAUAUGUUCAAAAUUCAUAACACAACAAAAAGUCUCUUCCACAACAUAUUAUGUAGCAUCACAGAUCUAGAGAUCUAGAGAGAGAGAGAGAGAGAGAGAGAGAGAGAGAGAGAGAGAGAGUGUGGAGAAAUUAUUGCUUGGACUAUGAUCUACAUAUAUGUAGUACGAAGUUUCCAGAAACUCAAAUUUACAGAAUUUUAAAGUUAAAUGUAUACAAUUAGAUAAAAGGUACAACACAAAAGCUUCUAUCCUAAAAGUUAUACUCUUUUUACUUUCUAACUCAUAUUAGAGUUUUGAAUUAAUUUCAUACAGGUCUCUACUAGCAUAGUAAAUGACAAAUAUAUUUCUACAAAGUUCAACUUUUAUAUAUUGUCCAUACAAAAGUCUCGAUAUUUUCAAAUAUAUCCUUACCGUUAGAAUCCGUUAGAAAAAAUUAAUUCAAAACUCUAAUAUGAGUUAGAAAGUAAAAAGAGUUUUGAAUUAAUUUCAUACAGGUCUCUACUAGCAUAGUAAAUGACAAAUAUAUUUCUACAAAGUUCAACUUUUAUAUAUUGUCCAUACAAAAGUCUCGAUAUUUUCAAAUAUAUCCUUACCGUUAGAAUCCGUUAGAAAAAAUUAAUUAACCAUAGAUUAAAUACUUAACACUGGUUAGUUUUUGACAUUUUUCCUCUUUUUAUAUUAUAUUGUUAUGCCUUUUGGAGGGAUACAUUUGUGACAAUAAAAUUGAAAAUAUAAACAGUUUUAUAACGGUAAUAAACUAGAAGGAUAUAUCAGGGCUUUUAUAUGAAUAACAUAUAAAAGUUGAACUUUGUAGGGAUAUAUUUAUUAUUCAUUAUAUUUGUAGGGACCUGUAUGAAAUUAAUUCUAAAUCUUUUGACAAUAUCCCCAAUCAAAAGUUGGCUUAAAAGGCCGGAAUUUUGAUUUGUAUUUUUUUUUUUUUUUUUUUUUGAGAGAUAGAUAGCACGCUGUUCGUUUCGUUUAUUUCAUUUAGAAAUAAACUUGGUUGGAAAUGUGAAUCGACUAGGAUUUUGAUUUGUAUUUCAAAAUGGACUAAGCUAGAUAGGAAUCGAAUGAAACCCAAUCUAAGCAAAACUAAAUUGAAACGAGGCUUGACUAGAAUUAAACUGGAGCAUUAGCAUAAAAUUGCGGAUGGGAAAAUCGAACUCAGAAUCUCUUAAGAUGGAAGAAACGUAGGACAGGCUCUUAUACCAUAUUACGCAAAGGAUCAAUCCAGUAAUAAAUAAUCUAGAAUUCGUCUUAGCAAUUAACCUCCUUCUUUGGACAUCACGAGGUUCAUGAGCAUGGUUUAUCUAAUAUCCACGGUUCAUCUUAUAUUCACCAUGCAUGCGAUCAGAUUCGUAAUGACGAACUAAUCUUAAAUUGUUUCAUACUAAAUUGAUCUUUUGUAACAUUCAAGACAUCAAGCUUAGGAAUUUGGUAGAGGAGAGAGAGAGAGAGAGAGAGAGAGAGAGAGAGAGAGAGGGGUUUGUUAAUUAGGGUUUGUCUCUUCUUUGGUCCUCUUUCUAUAAAACCAAUUGCUUUUACUAUCUACUGCAGCAGCAGCAGGAAGCAGCAGCAGCAGCGCAUGGAGGGUCCUUUUUACACUGCCCAUUCCGCCAGUCUUCACAUGCCUCUCCAGGCCCCAUUCCCAGCCUGGGCCCCUGCUCCUACAAAGAGAAAUUGCUGCCCGCACCAACUGCACCACAUUACCUGUGACACACAUCCUUAGUUACAUUUUUUGUAUACAUGCAUGAUGCAUAUGCAUCUUAAAGAUCUUAAAGAUCAGAAGUAGUUUGAUCUCUUCCAUUGUAGAGCUUUUCUAGCGCUUCUAUAUGCUGCAAAAAAAUAAGAAUUGAGAUUCUAAUACCCAUAUAUACCCAUAUUCAGAAACUUCAAUUUGAUACUUCCACUGUUUUGCAAUAAAGAAGUCUUCGCAUUAACGUAAUCCCAAGGCAAACGUGCAGAGAGUAGUAUAUAUAAUUCGACUCGUAGGUGUUGAAUAUAAAAAUAUUAAAAAACUGUUCUUUAAGCUAUCGUUUAGUUCGGGAAAUAAGCUAUUUUAGGCUAUCCCUGGUAUAGGUACAACUUUAGUUAAUAACAAUUAGAUAAUUAAAUUAGUCAAAAUAUUAAUUAAUUAAUCAAUAUGAAUAUUGGUUAUGUCAAAUAAUUAAUUAAUUAAUUAAUAAUUAUUUAAUUAGCAAAUUAAUUAAAAUAAUAAAUUUAAUAACUCAAAUAGCUAAUUAAAUAUUUAUUAGAGUAAUAAAUUAAGUACUACAAUUAAUGAUUUUAUAAUAAAAAUAAUAUAUUAUAAUAUAUAACAUAUUAUGUCUAUAUAAUUUAAUUUUAAUUCAAUUUAUAAUUUAAUAAAACUUUGGAAUAGCAUUAUUCUACCAAAAUGGUAGAACAGUAAAUUACAAACUAUUCCGAAAUAGUCGGGAAUAGCAAUGUUUGAGCAGGAUAAAAUAUUUCAGCCCAAAUACACUCCGUUUGGUCGGAUAGUGGGAUAACUUUCGUUAUCCCUGUUUUAUCCCCGAACCAAACGGGGCCUGAUAGCUUAAAUUACAUGAAAAUAAUGUUUGCUUCAUGCAAUUUAACAUAGUAUCAGUGUAUGAGGUUCCGAAUUGGGAUUUCGUUUAAUUCAUAUCCCUAUAAAAAGUUUCAAUUUUAGAGGUGAAAAAGAGUGUUGAAUACAAAAAUAUAAAAGUACUGUUUUCUAACAGAUCAAAAUAUUGUAACACGCAUAUUUAUCUAACAAAUAAGCUUUUAUUUUUGAAGUAUAGGUGCACAUAUGGUGGUACAUCAAGUGCAAGCAAAAAUUUCUCCUACUACAGCAUUUCCCUUCUAAAAGGGAAAUUAGAGCUCUCAUUGCAUAUUCUCAAUACAAAUGGACCAAAUAGGUGUUCUAUAUAAUAAAAGAAAAAACUUCAAAUACCACCCUUAUGGUUUGGCACUUUUCGCUUUAGUACCCUGUGGUUUAAAAUGUAUCAAUUUAGUAUCCUGUGGUUUUGCAUUUUCUCACUUUAGUUCCCUGUGGUUUAAAGUAUAUCAAUUUAGUACUCUGUGGUUUCAUUUUUUUCUUUUCGUCUCAGCUCCUCUGUUAAUAUUUCUUUAAAUUAUAUACAAAAAACUUUAGAUACCCUGCAUAAGUUUAUUUAAUAUUUACUUUAGUACCCUUUUGUUUUAACUUUGUCACUGAUUUUUUUUUCCUCCAUUAAUAUUUCAUUAAAUUAUAUACGAAAAACUUCAGAUACCCUACAUAGGUUUAUCGAAUAUUUACAUUAGUACCCUUUAGUUUUAACUCUAUCACUGAUUUAAUGAAAAAAAAAAUAGUGAAAUAGAUAAUAAAAAGAAAAAAAUAAAACCACAGGGUACUAACUUGAUACACUUUAAACUAUAGGAUAUUCAAGUGAGAAAGUGCGAAGCCACAGGGGUUAAAUUGAUACAUUUUAAACCACAAAGUACUAAAGUGAGAAAGUGUGAAACCAAGUGCAGGUAUUUGAAGUUUACCCAUAAUAAAAAGAGUGAGAGUGUGUUGAGUACUUUAGAAAUUCUCUGUGUAGUAGUAGUAGGUUCCUUAGAAGGCUCUGUGUACAAAGUUGAGAGGGACGUAAAGCAAAACCCUUUUUCUUUUGCAGAGAGAGGCAUCAAAAGGGUGCAGGGGGGAGAUAAUGAGCAUGCAAAAUUUCAAUACAAAAGAAGAGUGGACAUGUAAAAUAAAAUACAAAAAAUAAAAAAAAGUAUUUUGUGUGCUUAGACACACUUUUUUGUCAGGUUUUUUAGUACAAUAAUUUUUUCCUAAAAUUUUAUUCUACAAAUAGAAAUGUUAAAUUUUUAUUUAUAAAUAUGGUCUUAUAAAAGCGGUGAAUGGUUCACCGCUUUUAUUCUUUUUUCACUCCUAAUGAGAAGUAAUGAAUACGGCGAAUCAUUCACCGCAUUUAGAAUUCUAUUUUUAUAAUUAUUUUUUAACAAAAAUUAUUUUUAUAAUUAUAAAAAUCGAUAGGAUUAUUUAUAAAUAAAAUUCCUUUUUUGUCUCUAUGCAACUCAGAACUUUGUCCUUUCCUUCGCACGCAAUGUUUUGAGGGGGAGUGCAUGGUCUUGACCGAAUCAUGUUGUUGUCAACAGGUUAAGCUGGAUCCAAUACAUUAGGGUGAUGAUAUGGUCAAUUUGGAGUGUUGUUUAUACAUAAAAACCUAAAUUUGGAACAUAGGUGCAUGUUUGUAAUUUACAUGUAUAUUAUUUUGUAGACAAUUAUUCAUUUGCAUUUUACGAACCGGUGGUCUGGUUGAAAAGUAUCAUCGGAUUCAUCGAGUCGUGCUUUUAACAAACAUUUGAAUGCUUAAAUAUGUGACUUUUUUUUUAUAGUUGCGUACUCUGGAGCUGGGAUAUCAACUACUAAGACUUUCGCAAGUUGCCCUACAAAUAAUACCAUAAAUUAGAAUGAACAACAGAGAAUUCCAGUGUGAGAAUAACUGAGUUCGAGUCACGCCCAUCCCUAAAUUGCUAUGACAAAAUUGAGCCACUGUAGGAGAUACUUGAGUUCUAGUUCCUGCAGUAAGGUAAGGUUCAGAUGCAGAGAAAAAGGCAAUCUAUAUGUUAUUAAGAUAAAAACAUCCGGGUCUUACCUAAAUUACGGAUCAUUUGAAUUUGAUUACUGAAUCUUUCAAAAUUUAGAUUUUAUUAUCUAAUUUUUCAAUUUAUUUUAGUUGAGUCGGUCAAUAGGACUUUGGCUCUAAAAUUUAAAUUAAUUACUUAUUUUUAUAAACUUAUAAUUAUAAAAAUUAUAUAAAAUAUAGUAACUAAAUUUGUAAAGAUAAAAAACACGCAUUCAAGUUUUAAAAUCAAAGUAUUGUUGACUGACUCAAAUCAAAUAAAUCGAAAGAUUAGAUAAUAUAAUUAAAAUUUUAAAAAGUUGGAUAGCUAGAUCCAAAUAAUCUAUAGUUUAACUAAGAUUCAUACGUUUUUAUCUAUUAUUAAAAUAAACUGAAAAAUCAAGAAGAAAAUGAGGUACCUAUCAAACUUGAGGCACCAAUAAUUUCAUUCAUUAUAUAUAUGAUGGGACCAAUAACAAAUUAAAUUUUCAUAUUUCAAAAACCAUCACUAAAAUUUAGUUUGGUACCAAAAUUCGUGUUUAUUUCUCUUGGCUUCUUCCUUUGGUGGGUCACGUACGAAAAUGUUUCUUUCUUUUCCAAACUGGAAAAAUUUUCUCCAUUUAUAUAAAUGAAAUAUUAGUUGUCUUUAGAACCGUAUUGGUGUUUUAAAUGUCAACUCUGUCCCUCUAGAUUGUGCUAUGUACUAUGACAAUUCAUUUAAUUAAUUUUGUCUCUCACUAAAAGUAGAUACAAAACUGUAACUAUUCAAAAGGAGAUGAACGAAACAAGAAGAGAUAGUAGAUCCAAAAGAUAAUUACUCGCGCUGAUCGUACCUAGCUAGUGCAGUUGAUCGAGGGUCUGAUAGCCCCUAUCUAAAGUUAUAAAUUCGAAAUUUAGUUAUUUUAUAUUUUUAGCUGAGUUCAUAAAUAUAUAUNGGAGAUUUAUAAACUUCACACAUGAUUUAUGAAUAAAUUAUUUGCACUACUUGUUCGCGAAGCUUAGUUUUGAUAAAUCCAACAUUACAGAUCUCAAAAUUUCUGAAUUAUUUUACUUUAUUUUCUACUUUUGUGAAACAUUUGAUUCAUCUGUACAUUCGUUCUCCGUGAAUUUAUGGGCAUUUCAUUUAUCUCAUUUUUGUUCGUCGUUUGCUUUCCAAUAUUAAAAGAACCAUAAUUCGCUAUGUAAUAAGAUUGAAAUAUGAGAUGAGAAAGUGUUUGUAGUCAACAAAUAUAAGUAUAUAGCCACCCCCUGUUUAAGCAAAUAUUUUUCUAAUAUAAAUAAAUAAGAACACGAGUUCAUAUAACUUUUUUUUAGAAAUUUAGAAUAUCAAAUAUCAAAUUUUAAAUUCGAGACCUAUAGUAUAGUUAUUUUGAAUAUGAAAGAUAGAAAUAUUAUUUUCUAGAAGUUUAAGCUUUCAAAAAUAUAAUUUGCUAAAAUUCAGAUAUAAAAAAAUAAUUUUAUCCUAUUUAACAAAGAAAAAUACUACUUGUAUAUCUAUAUACAAGUGUCAUUGAUAUAACUUCUUUUUUCUAAAAUGUAUAAAUAAUAAUUUUUUAAAUAACUCUUUAGAAUAUAUAAAAUAUAAAAUAUAUUUUUAGUCUAAAUAGGUGUUUGGUCUAACUUUUGAAAAAUAAUUUUAGGUCCAAAAGUAAUUUUCGGCUUAAUAGAGCGUUUAACAACUUCACUCAGUUUUCUAGUUUUCAAGCCCCAAAAUUAGAAACAACUAACACUUUGAUUUUGAAAUCUGAUUUUGAUUUCAAACACAAGGUUAAAUUUAUAUUUUAUAUUUUAUAUUUAAAUUCUUUUAAUUUAAAAUUUUAACUUUUAAAUUUUGAAUUGUAAAGUUUAAAUUUUAGAUAUUAAAGUUCAAAUCAAAUUUUAAAUUUCAAAUUAAAAAUUAAGAUAAAAUUUAAUUUUUUUAAAAAAAAUUAGAAUUUAAAAUGUGUAAUAUAAAAUUAUAAAUUUUGAUUUUCAAAAUUGAAAUUUCAAAUUUCUAAAAUUACAAAUUUAAAUUUUAAAUUUGUAAUUUUAAAUUAUAAAAUAUAAAUUUUAAUUUUAAAUGUUAAAUAUUCAAAUUUUAAAUUUUAAUUUCAAGUUUCAAAUAUAAAUUUUAAAUCCUAAAUUGAAAAAUUAAGUUUAAAUUUAAAAAAAUAAUUUUAAAAUAAUUUAUUUUUUAUAUUUUAUUAUAUUUUAAAUUAAAAUAUCGAAAUUCAGAUAUUUUUGCAAACUUAAAAUUUAAAAUUUCGGUUCAAAAUUUUAAUUUAAAUUGAAAUUGUAAAGUAUUUUAAAAUAAAAUUCAUAAAAAAAUUAUUGUUUACAAAUAGUAAAAAAUUUUUGCCAGAACAGUUUCUGUGAAAAGUUACUUUACAUAUAAACCCAACCAAGUACUGUACAACUUUUAACAAAAACUAAUUCUCAAAAUUGAAAUUAAUUUUACAAAAAUUUAUUUUUUUGAGAAUCUAUUCGAGGGCCUGGCCAAAUGUGUUCUAUAAGUGCGGACAGACAGCACGAGGAUGCCGAUUUGCUCUACAUCGACAAGCCAGCUGUCAUCCGAAUAUAAAUAUUUUUUAUUUUUAUUUUUAUUUUUUUUGGAUAUCAGUUUGACUUGUCAACCGCAUAAGACAAGUUCUUCUUUUUCUUGCGUGAGAAAAGCAAAGGACAUUGUCACUUUGUCCCUCGAAGAUCCUCAAUAGUCAACAUGGAACGUAGGUUUACUUAUUUAAUAAUAAUAACAAAUUAUCUUAAAAUUUUAUUUAUAUAUAUAUUUUUUUAUUAGGGAUGUACAUUUUACGCGACCUCUCAGUAAUAUAUUCACGAAAAUUUUAAUAAGUUUUAGGCUUCGUUUGAUUCGGAGUUAAGUAGAAACUAAUUAUUUCAGGAAUAGGGUUAAGUUCAGGGUUAAGAUAAGGUUAGAAAAUUUUUUUAUUUGGUUGAGAAUUGGGUUUAGUUCAGAUAUAAACAAAAUAGUGUUUGGUUGGAAUAGGUGGAAUAAAAAGGUUAGUGGGUAGUUAUAAAUAUAAAAUAAUAAUUUUGCCCAAAUUAUUAUAUUUGAAUUUAAAUUUUUUAUUUUAUAUUUAAAAUUUUAAAUUUAAAUAGAUAAUUUUUAAAAUUAAAAAUUCAAAAUUAAACCCUAUAUUUUUAAAUCUCAAAUUUAAAAUUUUAAAUAUAAAAUAUUAAAAUUUUUAAGAUUAUAAAUUAUAAAUUUUUAAAAUUUCAAAUAUAAAAUAUUAAAUUUAAAAUUUAAAUAAUUAAAAAUAACAAUUUAAAAUUUAACAUUUUAAAAAAUAAAUAUUAAUUUUAAGAUUGCAAAUUAUACAUUUUUAAAAUUUUAAAUGUAAAAUGUCAAAUUUAAAAUUUAAAUAAGUAAAAAUAAAAUUUAAAAUUUAAAAUUUAAAAAUAAUAAUAUAAAUUUUUAGAUUAAAAUUUAUAAAUUUUUAAAAUUUAAAAAAUAGAAAUUUAUAUUUAUAUUUAAAAAUUAAAUUAGGGUGGAUUAACUUAAUCCCAUCCCAAUCUAUUGAAAGAUUAAGGUGUAUGGUUUAGGGGACAAAAAUUUUGUGGGCACCGUCCCCAAACUGACAGUGCGGAUGGGCGCCAUGUGGCCUGUCCAACGGCCACCCAGGAAAGAAAAAAAAAAUAAAAAAUUAGCGCUAUAAACAGUGUUUAUAGAGAGAAAGUAGUAGAGGAAGUGAAAAGACAACCACCCGAUGAGUCACAUGGCGUCCAUCCGCACAGUCUCCUCAAACUAUUAGUCAUCUAAAUUUUUAAAAUUUUUAUUUUACUAUCUAAUUUUUUAAUUUGUUUGAUUUGAAUCAGUCGAUAGCACUCUGACUUCAAAUUUAAUAAUGGACUAUUUUGAAUUGACUUUUAAAAUUUUACUUUUAUUAUCUAAUCUUUUAAUUUAUUUGAGUUAAGUCGGUACUCAAUAAUACUUUGGCUUCAAAUUUUAAGUAAAUUACUUAGUUUAGUAAAUUUAAAGUUGCAAAAAUUGUAUGAAGUAUACUAACUAAACCUAUAAAGAUAUACGUUAUAUUUGAAUUUUGAAGUCAAAAUGCCAUUGAAUGAAUUAAAUCAAAAAUUGAAAUACUGGAUAGUAAAACUAAAAUUUUGAAAAUUAAGUAGCCAAUUGAAAAUGGUCCAUUAUUCGGAUAAAUUCUAUACUUUUUUAUUAAAUUUUGUAUAAAGUUAGACAUUAAGAGUUCAUAUUUUGAUCCUCAAAAUAUUUUAACUUUUAUAAUUUUGUUAGAAAGCAUAUUUUUUCUAAGAGCGUUUUAUCUUAUCCUCAAAAAAAGAGUGAUGGUGAUAUAUUGUAUAAUCAUUUAAACAUUUAAUCACACGUCUCAUUUACCAAAUAUUUUAAAUAUUUCCUGUGAAAAGUAUAUCGCAGGAAUACAUCAAAUAACUUGUUCCUAUAAUCAAAUAGCGCAUACUAAGUCAUAAUUAUUAUCAAUUUUUAGGAUAACUGUUGUAUUUGGUAAUAUUAAAAAUAUCUUCUAAAAUGUGUAAAAGCUUUUUAAAAAAUAACUAAUUUUUUACACGAUAGAGCAUGAAAUGAAAUGCUGAGCUCGAAUUCUUAUGAUAGACUCUCAGUUUAAUUUAAUUUUAUCAUAUUCUUCUAUUUUAUUUAAGUUCACAUGUUACAUCUCUCCGAAAUGUAGAAAUGUAUUAAAUGCGGGUUCUCCAACUUAUUUAAUUGUCAAUUCUUAUAAUAUUAUUGUACAUAUAGCUACUGUUUUCUACUAUAGUAAAGGAGGGUUUGCGGGGACCGUAGAAUGACACAUGUCCCCGCGGCCCUCCCUUUUUCUCUCUUCCUCUAUAAAUAUAACAAUAUAUAAUAUAUAAAUUUUUAAAUUUUAAAUUUUGGAUAUCAAAAUUUUUAAUUUUUAAUUUUUAAUUUCAAAUUUGAAAGUUUCAAAUUCCAAAUUUCAUGUUUCAAAUUCCAAAUUCGUAAAAUUUUCUAAUAUUAUUUUCAAAUUUUAAACUUCAAUUUUAAAUUUUUAAAUCUCUAAACCCCAAAACCUUAAACCCUGAACCCUAUAAAAAAAUUAAUUAACUGUAUAUAUAAAAUAAUUAAUUAAUUUUAUUAAUAGUAUAUUUAAUAAAUUACAUUAUGAAAUCUAAUCCAAUGGAUACCUAAAUCACGUAAAAUGUCAAUGUAUAAAACAAAAUUGCAGAAUUUAAAUUUCUAGAAUAAAAUAUUAGAAAUAUAGUUUGUUUCUGUAUAUAUAUAAUUAAUUAAUUUUAUUAAGCAAUUUCUUCCACUAUUUUAUUUCUCUUUUAUUUAUUGAUGUAUUUAAAUUAUUUUAAUAGAUUUUUCUCAAAUCUUUUUUACAUAAAUCUUUAUGAAACAAUUUAAUUACUAAUAAGCUGUAAUACAAAUUUACGUUUGCUGCACAUAUACCAAUUUUAAUCAGUUUUAUUUUAAUAGAUAUAUAUAUAUUAAGUUAUUAUCCACGCCGGUGAUUUCAUUUGAAUAUUAAUUAUUAUAUAUUUUAAUAUUUAAAUAUUAAAAUUUAAUUAAAUAAAUAUGAUCUAGGGAUUUCUCGCAUUGGAUUACAUUUUAAUAAGUUUUGAGAAAAGAAAAUCUAUUUACUGAAUAUCAAAUAGUUCUCCCGUGAAUAACACGCAAAUAUUAUAAUUGUAUAAAAAAAUAGAAAAAUCAAAAUAUAUAACAGUAUUAUUACCUCAAAUACGUACGCUGAAAUAUAUAAAUUUACCAAAACUAUCACCUGCUAUCUUUUGAUUUGACUAUCUAAUCUUUAUAACUUUUUUUUUUUACUAUCUAAUCUUUUAAUUUACUUAAUUUGAGUCAAUUAGUGACUUUUUAACUUAAAAAUUUGAAUACAAUAUUGUUUAUCUCUAUGGGGUUUAGUUAAUAUAUUUUAUGCCAUUUGCGCAAUUAUAAAUUUAUUAAAAUAAUUUGUAUAAAUUUUGUAUUCAAAGAGCCAUCAAAUUAUUUAAAUUAAAUAAAUUCACAUGUUAGACACUAAAAUCAAAAUUUUAAAAGUUUGGACAGUCGAAUCAAAAUGAUCUAUUGUCCAUGUAAAUUCUAUAUAUUUUUUUCAUCUGUUGUCUUUAAAAUUUUCGACCUUAUAACCAACUUUCAAACAUUUUAGCCUAUUAAUCAGGUAUUUCACUAACAAAAAUUCUUAAUAUUUAAAGGCUAAAAUAUAUAAAAUUUUUCUGUAAAUGUCUUUUUUUAAUUGUUUCCUCUUAAAGUUCAAAAAUCUAUAGUUUGACUCAUUCAAAUUACAUGAGUAUUUUCAGUAGAAUACAAUAUUAAUGAAGAGAAUGCAGUGACCAAAUUCUCCAUAUUUGUUUUACAAGAUAAAAAUAAUUUUAAUAUAUUUUUCUUAUUUUUCAAUAUAAUUUUAGUGUAUUAUGAAAUUAAUAAAAUAAUGAUAGAAUUCUAACGGAGAAAUACUAAAUUUAUUAAUUUAAAAUUUUAAGAGGAUAAAUUAUAAGAAAUGCAGAUUAUUGAAAUUAAAAAAAAAAGGUAUAAAAACCGUGUAUUUUCAUAAUAGUGUUAUGCAUUUUAACCAUAUUUAAAUUUUAUUUUUUAAAAAAAUAUUGAAAGAAUUAUUAUUAUUAUUAUUGACAAAGUAUGCAUGGAGGGGAUACGGCGAUACGCAUACUACAGAAUCUCUUUGACUACGACGCUAAUAAUAAUUCCUACACUUUUUGGACCGAUGUGAUGGGACUUGGAGGGGCAAUUUCGUCAUUUCGCAAGUCUUUUAAAAAAAAGGGGAAAAAGAAAGGAAGAGGCGGGUCCCACUCCCCGCGAACGGGAGCGCGCCUCCGCCGUUACGGUCGGAUUUGUGGCGGGAAGAGAUCGCCGCGCGCCACGUGGCACCACGAAACGCGUCUUUUUUCCCCGUCCUGUUUCGCGCGCCGGAACCGUACGGACGCCCCCAAAAAAGCCCCAAAAGAAAAAUUGAAAAAAGCGCUCGCGGGCGCAGAUCCGGCCGUCCGAAGGAGGAGAGGAGAGGACACGUGGACGGUCGCGAUCGGGAGGGAUUAGCUGGACAGCAGGAUGGCCACGUGGGCUCCGGGUGUUUCGAACGGCGGGACGGCCACGUCACGAUGACGGCAGCAGUCGCGACGUCAGAGUCUUGAUCGGCCUCCGGAGGGGAGAAUGGACGGACGAGAUCUCGAGGCGAGGGUAAAAGGACGGACGAGGCGCGUUGUCCCCCCACAUCGACCAUGGCGAACCCCAAAGAUCGUAAGGGCUGAUAUUCUCACGCCGCCCUGUUUAUCCUAACAUCGCGCUUAAUCCUACGUAGAGUAUCCCACUUUAGUAGUCGUAUAAUAAUCUAAAAAAUACGGAGUAACGAUAUCCGCUCCCGGUGGGGCCCGCAGUACACCUCUGUCGGGGGACCACGUGUCGUGUUUUCAUUAGCUAGCGACGUCCUUGGAAACACGAUCGAGAAUUAGGGAACCAAAAAGAUUUGCAGCCGCGAAAUUCCCAUUAUACCCCUCACACAACACUCCAUUAAUCACGACCGUUCAAUCACUAUAUAAAUAUUAUCACUGUACUAUAGCUUAUCAUUCCAUACCUAAACUCAAAUACAAACGUCUUUAAUUUAAUACAUUUACCUAUCGGAUUCUAACAGCAAUGACAGCAUGUUUAAAAAUAUUAAUAUUUUUAUAAGAAUAAUAUAGAAAGUUAAAUUUUGUAAUAAUAUAUUUAUAAUUUAUUGUGUUUGCAAAAAACUGUAUGCAAUUAACUUUUUUUUUUAUGCACUGUAGUUGCAUGUUUGAUUUUGUGCGGUUCAAUUUAACUAAUGCAGAUACAUGCAAUUUUAACUUAUACUGUAUUUUAAAUAACAUGCAACCAAACAGCUUCUUGUAGGCUAUUGCAAAACAAGCGCAUUACAAAAAAUAUAGAUCAACAACCCACCACCACACAUUUAUACUUAUAACAUUAUUUCUCCUACUAAAAUUAUGACAACUUCUUCAUUAAUUGUUGAAUGUGAACUCUAUCACAAACCUACUCAAUUCGUUACUCUUCUUUUUUCGGCUAUUACCUUCGUUCAUCAUCGGUAAAAUAAAUCACACCCAUUAACAUCACUUUUUUCACCGUUGUUUUCUUCUUUUUUUUCCGACGUUUUUUAUCCGUCGCAUAGCACGGUUAUUACGCUAGCGGGCAUCAUUAAGACAAAAAAUAACAGAUUAAUUGUACGGUGACUAAUGAUAAGAAAAAAAUAAUUACGGAUUACCAUUCCUUAAAUAUUGCAUCAUUAAAAGAAUUAUUAUUGUUAUUUAUAAAUAGAGACUGAGAGGAACAAAAAGAGAGACGAUAAUUUAAAAAAGCCCAAAAUCUAUACUGAGUGCCAGAAAGAUCUAGAAGCUUCAAAUCGCCCGGGAAAUGUUUACGAACACGAUCCAUCUUCACCGGUGUCUAUACGCGCUGUACAGCGGCUCUCCGCUAGCCGGCGCCGUUUCGAAGGCGGCGGCUCAUCGCGAGCCGGCUCCGGCUCCUUUUCGGGGAACGGCGGCGGCGCGGCGGAGGGAGACGAUUUUUGGGUGUCGCAGCUACCGCAGGCGGCGGCGGCGGCGUCGAGGACGCCGACGGGGCUCGGCGGCGGCGUCGGCUCCGGCUCCGGCUCAGGCUCCGGCUCGGGGAUCGGCUUCAGGCGCCGAUGAGCGGAAGGACACGUGUCGAUCAGGUACUCCUCCAUUAGCUGGCGACAACCGCGCACCACGUCCUGCGAAGCAUAUAGUUUUUAGUACCAGUACUUUGAGGGGCGGUGAUAAUACCCCAAAUUUUUUUUUUUUAUAAAAAAGUAAAUAGCUAAAAUAUUAUAUAUAUNUCCGAUAGCAUAGUAGCCUCACUCUAUAUAUAUAUAUAUAUAUAUAUAUAUAUAUAUAUAUAUAUAUAUAUAUAUAUAUAUAUAUUUGUUCUUCGAAUUGAGUAGAUAUGGUUGCGUCGGUUCACCGCAUCCAAAGUUACCACCGCACCACGUUCUCAUAUUUGGAUAAAAUGCAAAAGAAGCCCUGCACUUUCAAGCAAUUGCACCCUCCCAUGCAAAAGAUUUGUAGCCAACCAAUGUGUUAAAUUUUAGAGAAUAAGUAUAAAAAGUUAUCGUUCGAAUUUUAAAUACUUCGCAAAUGAUUUGAUUUUAAUCAUCCUCCACAAUAGACGUUGGAUUGAGAGUGCUAGGACUAUAUGCAUUUUGCUUUUUAUUAAUGAUUUUAUUGUAUCCUAUAUAUUUAUAUGUAUGACAUCGUAAAAUUAUUUUUCAAAAAUUUUAAAAAAUUUAUCUUUUUAUGUAAAAUAUCAAAAUACCGAAGAUUUGGAUGCAUGCAGGAAUUGAGACCGCAACCGAAUAGCCCCUAACUUUUAUCUGCAUAUUUGUGAUGGAAAUUGAUAUUUCCAAUGCUAAUUUUAUAUUUGAUAGAACAAAUUUAAAUCAUGAUUAAACACAAUAUACUUAUUUUUUGGGGGGUCAUGUACUCAUGUUAAGAUGAUAAUCUACUACAUGUUAUUAGCUUUUAGCUGAUGAAAAAUUCAAUUUCAUUAAUCAUCAAUCACUACUGAUAGGUGAUCAAAUGAUUAAUUUUAGAAAGAUAUAUUUAACUAAAGUUAACCCAAGGAAGCAAUUAAAAGUCAAAAAAGUUUCAAUAAAAAUUUAAAAAGAGAGGUUUAUUUAUUUAUUUAAAAAUAGACUUUAGUUGCCAGGUCACCACCAUAGAUUCAACCUUUCUUUUUUAUUAAUAAUAAAGUAUUGCCUCUUCUCACUUUGCAAAAUAAAGGAAAUUAUAAUAUCUUCGCAUUAAAAUUUUGAGACAUUCUUAUUGACCCCAAAAAGUGUAACUUUAAUUUUUUUUAAGGUAAAAACCUUAAAUUAAACUAAUGAGUUUUUAAUUUAUAUUCGAAACAAAUCACGCAGAGAUGCAGCGCUCGGUUCAUGAAAUAACUUGUGUACUGUACUACAUAUCAGGGUCUUAAAAAAAAAAAAAAAAGGAAAAAAAGAAGAGAAAUAUAUAUAAAUCCGUUUCCAGUUUUAAUUAAAAGAAAAAAAAUAAUAAUAAGAAGACAAGUGGUGGGUUGAUGCAAAAGUUUAAGAGGACCAAAGUGUGGGACAGGAAAUGGUGUGAGGACCGACGUGCAAAUUUAGCCAGAGAGAAGAAGAGGACAAAAAAAGUGAAGGGAAGGAGAAAAAAAAAGGUUUAAUCUUACCUUGCUGACCCACUUGGCCAAAGAGGUCGCCAAUUCGUCGCCGUCGCAGCCGGGCGAGGAAUCGCCGAUCUCGCGCGCCGCGCACAGCACCGCCGACGCCGCGAUCUCCGACGCCCGAUACCCCAAAAAAUCCACCACUACGUACACCAAAACAUCAAUUAAUUAAUUAAUUAAUUAAUUCCAACAACAUUAAUCAUUAAUACAUGGAUGGAUCGAUCGAGAGAGAGAGAGGGAGAGAGAAAUUGGGGGGGGGACGCACCGCGGUGGGCGUUGAGGACGAGGGAGGAGGCGCGGGCGAGGAGGAGAGGGGGAAGGGGGGGGCGGCGUGGAGCGAAGUGGGGGAGGUAGUCGAAGGGGGUGGGGGAGCGCAUGCGCCAGGCGAGGGCGGACAUGAGGAGCAGCUCCAUGCGGCGCACCGUGCGGGGGUCGAACACGCGCCGCGGGCCCUCCUCCGCCGUCUGCAGCUCCAGCAGACCCGGCACCUGCGUCUCCUCCAUCUUCGCCGCCACCCACACGCUCGCCACCGACACCAGCUCCGUCGCCCACCCCUCCCCUCCCCCCUUCAUUUUCAAAACACCCAAAAAUAAAAAUAAUAAUAAUAAUAAUUUAAAAACUUUAAAAUAGAGGAGGAACACGUACCAACUACCAACACCCAAAAAAACAAAAAAAAAAAAAAGGAAAAGAAGAAAAAGAAUUGAAUACGUAGGUUAAUUGGAUGGUUACCGGGAGGGCGCGGGAGGAGAGGAAGCGGUCGAGGUAGCUGACGGCGAGGCACGGCGUGACGGGGCGGAAACGGUAGAGCUCGCAGACCUUGAGGAUCCAGUUGACGGCGUCGUGACGGGAGGUGGCGUCGAGGGAGCGGUCGCGGAGGCGGGAGAGGUAGUCGGGGCGGGGGGAGUGGUGGGGCUCGGCGGCGAGCAUGACCGACACGUGGCGGUCGUCGGGGGCCCGCCACUCGUCGCCGUCGAACGGCGCGGGCGAGGGCGAGGGCGAGGGGGAGGUGGGAGUGGAGACGAUGGGAUGGGGAUGGGGAUCGGGAUCGUGCGGCUCCCAGGAGGCCACGUCGUCGGCGUCCUCGGCGCAGAGGAGGAGGAGGUUAGAGGAGGCGGAGGAGGGGUCCGAGGGGGAGAGCGCCAUGGGGAAACGGGGCGGCGGCGGCGGGGGGAAACGGAACGGGGCUUAGGGAAAGGGAAGCGGCGGGGUCAUGGGCGUUUCCCGUGGCGAGGAAACGGGAGACGGGGUCGGGCAUGGAAAGAGAAAGAGAAAGAGAAAGAGACACCCUCUCUCUCUCUCUCUCUCUUCUUUCUCUCUCUACUCUCUUCUUUCUCUCUCUACUCUACACUACUCUACUCUCUCUCUUUGGAGUAGCGUCUUAGUGUGUGCGUGGUCUUUUUGACGGCGUCGGGGGCAAGGGCGUGAAAAAAGAGACGGAGGUGUUUCUGCGUGGACCGCAGAGCGGAAGCGGUUUCGGUUGGGUAUUUAUAGCAUCUUGUUUCCUUUAUAUGCUUCUUUAUAUAUACGGAAAACUUUAAAUACCACCCCCUCUAGUUUUACACCUUUUUUAAUUUAGUACUCUAUAAUUUAAAAUAUAUUAUUUUUUAUCUUAUAAAUUUAUUUUUCGCUUUCUUUCUGAUAUUCACUCUAUUAAUUUUUUUUUAUUAAAUCAGUGAUAAAUUUAAAAUUAUAGAAUAUUAAAGUAAAAAAUUUAAUUAAUCACAGGAGUAUUAAAGUGAUUAUUCAAUUAAACAUAGCUGGGAGAUUAUAAGUUUUUUGUAUAUGAUUUAACGAAGAGUUAAUAAAAACGUUGACGAAAAGAAAAAAAUGAAAGCAAUUGUAUUAGAGUGAUAGUUUCUAGGUCAUGCGAAUUAAGUGGGCCAAUUUAAUAUUGUAAUUGAACCCUGACUAAAAAAAUAAACGGAGCAAUCAUUGAAUUUCGGCGAAAUAAACAAACUUUUAAAUAUAGAGUAUUAAAGUAAGAAAAUACGAGACUCCAGUGAUGACAUUUGAAGUUUACUCUUAUAUAUUCGAAUAAAUGAUGGAAAAUAUGAUAUGAUAUGAUAUGAUAUGCUCUUGAGGCACCAUUUUUUCAUGUAGAUCCCUCUAAAAAAUGAGAAUACCAUUUCUAUUGGCUUAGUUUCGAACCCGUUCCUCUGUUGUUCUCCUUGCAGUUUAGUCUCAAUAAUUUCAUACUGGAUGAGAAAAAAUUUAUGUAUAAAAAAUAUGAGGAUCAUGAAUCCUAAUAUAUACUAAUAAGUAAUUUUAAGUAUUUUGUACUAGUGAUUUAGUUCCGAUAAAUUAUUAGUCGAUAAGUUAUUAGUGCUAAUAGGUCAAAUCAUUACAUUAUGUCUCGAUUCAUAUCAACUAAUUUAAUUCUCCUUUGUAGUUUAGAGCUUGUUUGAUUUGGGGAAUCCCAAAAACAAAUUUACUUAUUUCAAAGAUAUUGUAGGCCUCGGUAUUUGCUCUCGCACUGAAAUCAUAAGAUCAUUCAAACCGCCGCUCAUAAUUAUAUGGAAAUUAGUUUUUCAAUUUCAAAUUUGUGAAAUUUACAAAUUUUAUUUUUUGUUUAAUUUCCUUCAAAAAGUCUCUUAGGGCGUGUUUGAUUCACCCCUUUUUCACCUGGAAUUGGAAUCAGAAUCGGAAUGGAUGAAUCCAUUUAUCCUUGCUUGAUAUAUGGAAUUUUCAUUCCGAUUUCGAUUUCUGGGUGAAUGAGAAUCCCUCCAAUUAUCCCUUUUUCCAAUCCAGCUUAAAAGGCCAUAUUAAAAAUUAAUUCCGAGCGGAAUGGAUUUGUUCAGCUUAAAUUUAACUUUGUUGAGUUUAUUUUUUAAUUAAAAUAUAAGUUUAAGAUUAAAAAUUAAAAUUCGAUCAAGUAUUUCGAAUCUAAUUUAUAAAUUUAAAUUUAAUUUAAAAUCUAAAGUUUUAUUCAAUUUUUAUUUAAAAUUUAAAUUUAAUUUAUGGAUCCAAAUUUAAAAUUUAAAUUAUAAUUUUUUAAGUUUGAAUUUGAACAAAUCGAAAUUUAGUUUUAUAUUUUGAAUUAUCCGUUCAAUUGCAAAUUUUAAUUUUUUUUAAAAAUAUAUUUAAAAUUUUGACAUUAUUUUAAAAUUUUAACGUAAAUUUUUUAAUAUUUAAUUUUCAGUUUGAAUUUAAACGAAUAUAUUAUAAAGAUAAAAUUGACAUAUUAAUUUAAUUACAUUUUUUAUAUCUAUCUGAACCAAACACCGAUAAUGAGAAUCGUUAAUUCCGAUGCCGAUUCAGAUGACGAACCAAGUAGAAGGAGAUAAUAAAUUAUUCUGAUUCUGUUUCCAACUUAUUCUCAUUCCUAUUUCGAAACAAACACAUUCCGGGGUAUGUUUUUAACUUUGCCGGCUCUUUUUGGAAAUUGUUAUUUGACUGUUUGCAACUUUGAUUUUAAUCUAGGAAAAACUUCAAAUACUCCCUUGUGGUUUCACUUUUUCUCACUUUAGUACCCUGUGUUUAAAGUGUAUCAAAUUAGUACUAUGUGAUUUUGCACUUUUUCACUUUAGUACUCUGUGGUUUAAAGUGUAUUAAAUUAGUAUCCUGUGAUUUCGCACUUUCUUACUUUAAACCACAGAGUACUAACUUAAUACAAAAGUAAAACCACAGGAUGCUAACUUGAUAUAAAAAUAAAAUCAUAGAGUACUAACUUGAUACACUUUAAAUCACAGGGUACUAAUUUGAUAUACUUUAAAUCACAGAGUACUAAAAUAAAAAAGUACGAAACCACAGCGAGAUUUUUUGAAGUUUUUCCUAAAGUAAAUAUCACCGUGAUUUAUAAAAUUUUACAAAUUACUACAUUGUGCUUUGUAAAUAUAUUAUUUUACUAUUCUAUUUAGUGACAUACUUUUAAGAUAAGAUAAGAUAAAAAUAAAAUAGUAGGAUACCAAAGUGUUAUUUUUUUUAAUCACAUAAUAACAAAGUGAGAUGGGUGAAGCCACUAAUGGGUUAAUGAAGUUUUUCUAGAAAAUUAUAUAAGUUUAAAUCCUUAAUUUAAAAUUAUGUGAAAUAAGCCUGAAACUUUGGAAUGGUGAUUCAAUUUGGGAUGCAAAAGCUUUUAUAGUGAUUUGACAUAUCAUAUUGAUUUUAUGUCUAAAUAUUUUAUCUAAAUUUUAAAUGCCAUAAUGACUACAGAAUUAAAUAAAGCCGAGCUCCGUCCCAAGAGCUACAAAAGUUCACUAUUUAUUGGACCGUGUUUUUUCACACAUGGUUUUAAUUUUGGGAAAAUUUCCUGUGUGCCCCUCUAAAAGCAUGUAUUUACACGCAUGCCCCUAUAAAAAUUGAAAUAUCUUAAAUGCCCUUCUAAAUAGAGAAAACUUUCAAAAAUACCCUUCAAAACACAGUUUUGUUAAAAUCUACAGUAACAGCAACCAAAAUACCGAUUUUACCUUUUUCAUAAUUAACUUUCUAAAUGUUCCAACUAUUACUAAUGAAAGGUUAAUUUCAUUCAUACCCUCUAAACGUUCAAAAUAUUAUAAAUAUUCCUAUAAAUUUGAUUAUAUCACAAAUAUUAAUAAAAGUCAAUUCACACUGUUAUUUAGUACAUUUGCACUUCUCUAACCUUGAUUAUAAAAUUUAUCAGAUAAUCUGANNNNNNNNNGAACACGAGCCGACCCCAGCUCGCUCGUGUUCGGCUCGUUGACACUCCUAGGUGUAGGCGCUAAUGUCAAUAGCUAAAUUAAAAUUAUUUAGAUGUUUAAAUAUUAAACAACAAAUUUCAAAAAAAAGUUGCAUACCGAAAUAAAACUCGAUUAGAAGUUCAAGGAACUAGCGGUGCAAUUUAUCCUAUUUUGAUGCUCAAACUAUAAGACGUUGCUUAUACGAAAAUAAUAUAAUAUUUUAAUUAUUAUCAUAUCAUCAAUUAUAAUAUUAUUAUAUCACUUUCAAAUUAGUAAGAUAAAUUGAUUUGUAAAAUUUAAUUAUAAUAAUUUUAAAAAAAAUUGAAUUAAUAUUAUAAUAUAUUAAAAUUUGAGGCAAGUUGUGUUCUCAUGCUUUACAGAUCGUGCAAGCGACACUGAGAACUCCCCACGUAAACAAGAGGUUAUUUUGCAUGGGUGAAAAUCUAAACCAUUUCUCUUUCUUUUUUUUUUUUUUUAGAGAGAGAUAGGUAGUACGCUAUCGCUUCGUUUAUUUCAAUUAGAAAUAAACUUAGCUGAAAAUGUGAAUCAAUUAGAAUUCGAAAUUGUGACCUCGGGUACUAACAUCUAAGCCUUUUGUCACUUGCUCAGGGGACGGUCGAUAUCUAAAAACAUUUCUUAAUUUCCAAAUUUAGAGGAAAAAAUAAAAAUAAAAACCCAUAAAUAUUAUAAUUGCCUUUUUAAAUGUUCCGACUAUUACUAAUGAAGGGUUAAUUUCAUUCAUACCCCUCUAAACGUUCAAAAUAUUAUAAAUAUCCCUAUAAAUCACAAAUAUCCUUAUAAAUACUAUCUUAUAAAUAUAUUCUCGUUGUUAAUUUUUAUCUCUCUACCAAAGAUCUAUUUAAUUUAGAUAGGUUAUCAUGAAUUAGUGAAAAUGUUCAUUUUAUUCUGAAUUUUUUAAAAUUUUUUGAAAGAGCACUUUAAUGUGAUGAAAUGUACAACAAAUAAACUUUCAAAACUGUCCCUCACUAGUAAUUAGUUUAGAUAAUGAUACAAGUAUUCAAUUUAAAUACUAUUAAAAUAUUAAUAAAAGUCAAUUCACACUGUUAUUUAGUACAUUUGCACUUCUCUAACCUUGAUUAUAAAAUUUAUCAGAUAAUCUGAGUUUUUUUUAAAAAAAUUUGUAAACAAUGCUAAAUCGUUUUAUUGUAAUUUCAAAUCUAGUAAGUAAUUUUAUGCUUUAUAAUUAAUGAUAAACUUUGUAAUUUUUCAGCUAUUUAUUAUUUUCUCUCUUCAUUUUAAAAAAUUUAGAAAUAUUUAAUAAUAUUGGGUAAGAUAAAAAUAUUAUUCUUUUAGAAUAUAUAAUUCUUACAGAAAUCCAUGUGAAAAUAUAACUAAAUAACUUUUAAAUUUGUAAAACUUUUAAAUUUAUGAGGUAUUUACAAAAGUUAAAAUUAUUACUAAUAAUUAGAACAUUUAAGGGCAAUUAUGAAAAUGAUAAAAUCAAUAUUUUGAUUGUUGUUACUGUAGAUUUUAAUAAAAAUAUGUUUUGAAAGAUAUUUUUAAAAGUUUUUUAUAUUUAGAGGGGCAUUUAGAAUAUUUCAACUUUUAUAGAGGCAUCCAUGUAAAUACUUACUGUUAGAGGGGCACAUAGGAAAUUGUCCCUAAAAAAAAAUAGCCACGUGGAGAAUGCAACGUCGCUAGAAGCAAUGUUAGUCGUGCCAGUAUACUGCAAACCAAUUUUAAAAUAUAUAUUAAAAAUAAAUUUCUAUAGUACAAUAAAUUAUUUAAAUAUUUUAUAUUAUAUAUAUUAUAUCAUAUAUUAUUUGACAGUACUGAUCAUCAGACGUUACGACAAGUAUCGAAUAUAUAUUGAACAAUAUUUGGAGCAUUAGUGUGAUAUAUGAAAUCAAAAUUCCAUCACAUCCAAAAAAAAAAAAAAGGCUUGUGUCACAUAGCUAUUUAAGGAUUGAGCCAAUGGGAGCGUGCAACAUGGGGGGAAGGAAAGUUGGAUACACUUAGUAUACCAUAAAUCAACUCUAAAAUAUGAAUUAAAAUUAAGUUUCUAUAGUACAAUAAAUUAUUUAAAUAUUUUAUAUUAUAUAAAUUAUAUCAUAUAUUAUUUUACAGUAGUGAUCAUCAGAUGUUACGACGAGUAUCGAAUAUAUUUUGAACAAUAUUUGGAGCAUUAGUGUGGAUAUAUGAAAUCAAAAUUCCAUCACAUCAAGAAAAAUGGCUUGUGUCACAUAGCUAUUUAAGGAUUGAGCCAAUGGGAGCAUGCAACAUGGCCGGAAGGAACGUUGGAUACACUUAGGCUGCGUUUGGUUCAGAUAUAAGUAAAAACUGCUUGUUUCAGGAAUAGGUACAAGUUCAGAUAUAAGCAGGAACUAGACCAAUUUUACGUUUGGAUGAAAAUUGAGUUGUUCCUAAGAUAAAGGUAAAUAGCGUUUGGAUGGUUAAAUUGGAACAAGAGAAAUAAAAGUUAUAAUUUGAAAUUAAAAUUAUAUUAUCUAAUUAAUUAACAUCAAAAUAUUACUUAAAAAUAAAUUAUUAAUAAAUAAUUAUAAAUAAUNUUAAAAAAAAUUUUGUAAACAAUGCUAAAUCGUUUUAUUGUAAUUUCAAAUCUAGUAAGUAGUUUUAUGCUUUAUAAUUAAUGAUAAAACUUGUAAUUUUUCAGCUAUUUAUUAUUUUCUCUCUCCAUUUUAAAAAAAAUUUAGAAAUAUUUAAUAAUAUUGAGUAAGAUAAAAAUAUUAUUCUUUUAGAAUAUAUAAUUUUUACAGAAAUCAAUGUAAAAAUAUAACUAAAUAACUUUUAAAUUUGUAAAACUUUUAAAUUUAUGGGGUAUUUACAAAAGUUAAAAUUAGUACUAAUAAUUGGAACAUUUAAAAGGGAAAAUAUGAAAAGGGUAAAAUUGGUAUUUUGAUUGUUGUUACUGUAGAUUUUAAUGAAAAUGUGUUUUGAAGGGUAUUUUUGAAAGUUUUCUAUAUUUAGAGAUGGGAUAUUUCAAUUUUUAUAGGGGCAUCCAUGUAAAUACUUACUGUUAGAGGGGCACACAGGAAAUUGUCCUUUUAAUUUUACUCUGUGUGAAUGUAGAUGCUCUUGUGCAUUUAUUAUUUUUCUAUAAAAAUUCAACUAUUUUCUCUAGUUUUUUAAGUAUAUUUGACAUGGGAUAGUACAAUUAAAAUUGAUGCAAUUUUUUACAUAUGCAAAAAAUAAAUGUGACACAGACUAAGCAAAGAAUAAAUAUUUAACCAAAUACUAUAUGAUUUAUUCUAUUUGUAUUUUCUUUGCAUCUACGUAGCUGGGUACUGCUUAAGAAUUUAGCGUCAAAAGCCUUCUUUAUUUUGAUCAUAUGACCGAAUAAAAAGAGGAAAGGAUAAUUAACAUAUUAUUUCUGUUUGAUUCGAUGAUAUUUGCUAACUGUCAAACUACUAUGACUAUCUAUUUUGACAAAUUACCGCAACCAAAAACUAGUAUGCAUAAUACAAUUCUAUACAUGACGCUACGUGAUUAGAAAAAGUUUCCAAAAUUAAACUCUUCUAUCGUAAAAAAAAAGAAAGAAAAAAAAAACACUAUAUAUAUAGUGGCACAGUUUAAGUAGAUAAGAAGAUACUGCUGGUUAAAAUAAAAUCAAUAAACAAUAAAAUUUGGAAGGAUAAUAAUAUAGUUAUUCCGAAAAAUAAACAAACUUUAUUGGUCAAUUAAUGGCAAAGGAUAUAAUUCAAAUUCCUAAAGUUUGAAGGAUAUAUAUACAAAUACUAAACUAUAGAUACAACUACAUAAUUUCAAGACUGGACCUACUAUACUCUUACGUGUAUAGCUAUGUUUAUACUUAUUAGUUUUCGGCCAUUGAAUGAAGAAAUGUGCGGAUAAGAUGAUAGUAGUUUCUUAGGGUUGAUUGAAUGGUUAGUUGAAUAGUAUGAUCUAACGGAAAAAAAUAAUCAAAGCAAUGGAUCUAACGACCGAAUAUUUAUGAGAACAAAUGGUCUUAUACUCAUAAGAGUAUAGUAGUCAGACUCUAAUUCCAAAUAUUUGUAGUGGGCAAUGUAUGCAAAUUUUUCUAUAUCUUUUCCUAAGGAAGGAAAUAACUGUUUUGGCCAUGUGGUUUGAUUCAAUGCUUGGGGUGAAUGCUACGUUGGUUUAAUGGGUUCAGUGGCACCAUCAAAUACUUUCUUUGUGUGAGGUUCUGAUUCAUUUGCUGCAAGAACCAUUCAUUGUAACCAGUAAUAGCAAAAUGUGAGCUCAUCUUUGCAUUAUGUUGCAAGGAUUAUUUAGUGUAAUUAAGGGAUGAAUCGAGUCGGAUAUUAUCCGUCGGAUCCAGCUUGUAAAUCUUAGAUUUGUCGGAUGCGGAUUUAGAUUUGCUUAUAUGAAUUGAUUGCAGAGUGUAUCACCAUUAAGGUGCGCUUAUUUUGAUGCAGAUAUAUACAAGAUGAAAUGGUUUAAAUGAACUAAAUCCGAAUUUCCAUACGGCAUGUUAUAAAGGUAUUGUAUCAAUGAUGCAAUGUUUAAGUUGAGGGUUAUUAAGUUGUAGAUGAUUGGUAAGAUUCUGAAAUUUUGGGAACUAAAAUAUUCAUGGGUAUCAUUUACUCAAAUCCAAGUUUCCAAAGGAAUAUAUAUAUAUAUAUUUGAAAUUAUUUGCGAUGGAGAUCAAGUCAAAUUUUUCUUGACCCAAAUGUGAUCCGACCCAAAUGAUUGUAUAAUUUUUCGUAAAUACACGUAUUUACGUAUUUUGGGUUUAUGAAACAUAAAAUAUUAUGUGAAAUUACAAAAAUCUUAAUAUAUCAAUUGAUAUGUUAACAAAAAUCGGUCUAUUAAUAUUGCCACUUGUGCGCAUGAUGAAUAUAAAAAAAUAAAGAUAAAUAUAUAUUGAAUCAAUUACUGUUAAAUAUUAAAGAUUAGCCGGAAUUGAAUUUACGACCUUAAAAUAUAACAAAAAGAUUUAACUCGUUUAAUACUAAUAGUGGUAUUGCAUCUACGGGAACGGACCCAAAAAUACACAUAAACAUUCCAUUCUUGUGCAUUGUGGGUAUAAAAGACGAGACACGUUAAAUUGAUAGAUAAUGUAAAAAAAUCAAGUAUAAUGUGAGAACCUGUUAAAUGAUGUAUGAGUUUAAUCUUAUCUUUAAUAUUAUAUUAUUCAAAUGGUUGAUCAAAUAAAAAAUGAUUUAUAUAUAUGUUAACAUUUCAUUCAUGUGGAUUGUGAAUAUAAAAGACGAGAAAUGUAAAAUUAAAAUAUAGUGAAAAAGAAUCGAGUAUAAUGUUAGAACCUGCUAAAUAAUGAAUAGCUUUAAAAGUAGCUUUAAUACUGUAUUAUCCAACUGAUCAGUUAAAUAAAAUAUAGCCGAAAGAGCUAUGCUACUAUAUUUUCGAAAACACGCAAUUGGCUUCGUUCGGCAUGAUUUACAGUUUUGAAGCUAUUUAGAAACUAAAUUUUAUAAUUUUUUGAUUUCGUUUAUCUAGUAAAUAAAUAGCUUUACAAUGAACGAUUGAAAAUAAAAAUUUCAUAAAAAAACAAAAAAUAAAAUUUGAAUCAAAAUUAUUGAUCUUACUAUUGAUGACAAGUAUAAUUUUCUAUUAAAAUUUUACGUAAUUUAAAUUUUUCUAUAUUAUUGAACUUAAUAUGCCUACACAGACCUUUAAAAUAAGAAUUUAUGAAACUCUUUGAUAUUUGACAAAUAAUAUUUAAAAUUUAUAAAAUUUAAUUUAUAAAUAAACCGGCAGAAAAAUUAGAUAUCUAUUCAAAAAAUUAAUUUAAAAAAUAUAAAAAUUAUUGCACUUUCGAAAGCAUAAUAAUAUGGCUCUAGUCCAAAUAUAUAUAUAUAUAUAUAUAUAGAGAGAGAGAGAGAGAGAGAGAGAGAGAGAGUGUGAGGUUUUUAUGCUUUUGGAAGCACGGAGUCUUUCGUGCUUCUAGGUCGUUUUUCAUGUUGCAACUUUCGAAUCGUCGAUCAGCUCCAUUAAACUUGAUCUAGAGUAUUUAAAGUAUCUAGAAAAUAAAUUUUAUAAUUUUUUGAUAUCAUUUGCCUAGUAAUCGAAGGGGCUCAAAAUCAAUAAUUUUAAAGGCCGUAGUGAGCCGUUUGCAAGUUUAACGGUAUAGAAAUAUUCAAAUCACGUGUAAUUUUGAUAGAAAAUUUUUUAUACUAUAUAAAACAAGAUCAAUAUCUUUGAUCUAAAAUUUUAAUGUCAUAUUAUCACGUUUUGUAAGAUUUUUAUUUUCAACCGUUAAUUUUGAGCCCCUUUAUUCACUAGGCAAAUAAUAUCGAAAAAUCGCAUAAUUUAUUUUCUAGAUAUUUCAAAUACUCUAAAUCAAGUUUAACGGAGCCGAUCGACGAUUCGAAUGUCGUAACAUAGAAAAUGACCUGAAAGUACAGAAGACUUCGUGCUUCCAGAAGCAUAGUAGCCUCACUCUCUCUCUCUCUCUCUCUCUCUCUCUCUCUCUCUCUCUCUCUCUCUCUCUAUAUAUAUAUAUAUAUAUAUAUAUAUAUAUUAACAUGUCCCUUAUAGUCUCCAAAAUGACUAAAAUUGGUAAGCCUAAUUUUUGUCGGUAGAAACAGAUGAUUGGACUAAUGCGAUUCCAUUUUGAAGUGAAAGAGAGUCAUAAUUGAGAAUAAUCAUUGCACUUCUCAUUUCACAUGGCAUAUUACAUCCCAUUAUUCAAAAAUUUAUAUUUUUUUAAAAAGGUUUUACUACUAAAGAUUAAUAAGAUAAAUGAGUAUAUUUAAAUCUUUGAAAGAGUAGAUUACAAGAUUUACACUCAUGUUAAGUCUAUAAUAACAUUACUCUGAAUCAAAUAUUAAAAAUUUUUAUGCCAAUAGUCUCACAUCAAAUAAAUAUAAGAAAGUACAGAAUUGAUAUAUAUAUAUAUAUAUAUAUAUAUAUAUAUAUAUAUAUAUAUAUAUAUAUUCAAAAGGGCAAAGCUGACUAAUGGGCUCGAUCUUUCUCGUAAUCAUUCAUAUAAAGUAAAGACAGGCCUCGCGUCAGAGCGCUUAUCGGCGGCUUGCAACAUCACAUCUGGAACGACCGAUCUAUGAAUAUAGAGCUUUCCGCGUAUAAAUAAAAAGAAGUAAGAUAAGUAAGAAUAAGAUUUGGAUUUUGAAAGGAUUUUUAGCCUAGAUAAAGAAUUGGAACUGAAAGAGUCUUUCGCUCAUGCAUUUCCUUCAGGCAGGAAAUAGGUGUCGAAAGCUCAUAACGAUCGCUAUUCAAUUAUGCUGCUACACAGAAAGGUGUGAUUAGUCAUAGUCAAUGUAUUUGAAGCGUGAAUGGUGUAUUUUAUACAGGGCCAAGUCGUCCAUCAAUUGAAGAUUAUAGGCGCAUUUCGACGAGCGAAUCAUUUCGUUUAUAUGAUGCAGUCGUCGAAUAGCUUUUUUAUUAUUAAAAUGAUUCAAUAAAGAGAAUACAAUAAACCUAUUCUAUUGUAUUGAAAUGUCAAUUCGUGAAUAAAUAAGACAGGCUUAGCUACCUACAGUAAGUUGAGAGGAAGCAUAAGCUAAGCAGCCAAAGUCGAGUAGGAAGCAAAGGAAGUUGUNUAUAUAUAUAUAUAUAUAUAUAUAUAUAUAUAUAUAUAUAUAUAUAUAUAUAUAUAUGGGUAUAGACUAUAAAACUUAGUCCCUGUUUAGAUAUAUAAAUAUCUUAUUUGUAUUCAAUAAAUGAAAAGUAUGAUCAAAUAGCUAGAUAUAAUACAAUGUUAGUGGAUGUUAGAGCUUCAUCUCGUAGGCAAAAUAUACUGUCCGAUCAAAUCACAUAUGCUAAGACCUUUUAAGAAGAAAAAACAAAAUUUCGUACCUUCCAAUAACAUAUUAAAUUUUUUAUACUGAAUAAAUUAAUUAUCGUUGGAUAAUUUAUUCUGAUAUCCAUACAAGGCCACUUGAAUGCAUGAAUAUCUUCUUCCGUAUAUCUAUUUGACUUAUUUAAGAAAUUUAUACAGUUGAAUAAUAAGGAGUGCGCUCAAAUGUUUAAAAUGAAAUAUCAUAUUCGGUCUCCAAAUUAUUUUUUUUCAAAAUAAGAUAAGAUAUAUCGUGGAUGAAAUAUGCUAUCCAACAAAUUAUGCAUAGCAAAAUUUUCGAAGAAGCAAAAAUGAAACUUUUUAUUUAGAAUUAUAGUAAAAAAUUUUCAUACAAAAUAAGUUAUUUUUAGAUAACUUAUUCUAAUAUCCAAACAAAGCCAUGAGCUUUUAAAUUGUAUGGUUUUAUUGGAUAUGUCAUACUCUUUGCGACAUGCGGGUUUAGGUUGGAUCAAAACUCCCUAACACCUAACAUGCCCUUAGAUUAUAUUGUUUGAGAAGUUAACUUCAGAUAUAUAGAUUUGGAAUUUGAAGCGAUUAGAUUCUUUAAGAGAUCUGGUGAUCCUUCUGAUUAUUAUGAUGAGAAUAAUUUUUUCACUUUCUUAGUGAUUUAUAAACUAUAAUCUAGUUAAUUUAAAUCCAAAAUUGGGCCCUAGCUUGCUUGUUGUGUAGAAACCAAAUGGACCGCAAUGGAGCCUAUAGUUGUCGCUUUGGGCUUUUUACAUGAUGAGCAUUUCAUAGCCCAUAAUUAUAAUUUGAAAUUUGCAGAAAAAAUUAUGUCUUUAACAGUACUAAUUUUAUUGGCCCAAUUUUUUAAUCUUUCCAAAGAAUUAGAAAUUGUCCAAAAAAUUAUGAGUUUUAAAAAGGACUUUUUUUUUUUUUCCUGUCAGUUUGGCCCAAUUUUAAAUUAUUUUUUAUGAUGGGACAUCUGGAUUGACGAUCGGCUAUAUUAAACAUGAUCUACACUAUUAAAAAUAUCUGAAAUUUAUUAUUAAGAUUUUUUAAUAUUAUUUAUUUUUAAAAUAAAAAACCUCUAAAUGAACAACUGACUCAUAAAAUAAGUAAAUAAUAAUAAUAGGCUUAAUUUCGUAUUAUAGAUACUCACUUGCUUUAAAUAGUAAAAAAAAAAAAUUUCGAUCAAAAUUUUACUAGAUUUGAAUUUUUUGUACCGUUGAACUUACAGAUACAUUACAUCGGCCAUCAAAAUUAUCAAGUUUGUGAUCUUGUAAUUGCUAAUUAGAUGAUGUUAAAAAAAUAUGAAAUUUGAUUUCUAAAUAUUUUCAACAGUAUAGAUUAUAUCUAAUUGUGCUGAUCAUCAAUUUCAAUAUCUAAUCAUAGAAAACAGUUUGGUAAAACGGAGGCGUCAGUACCACUAAUAGUAUACAAAUUGGACUUCUUCAAAAAAUAACUCCAUCUAUUGGCAGAGGGAAAAGAUUAGGUCAAAAAAAGCAUUUUUAAUCUUCGUUAAUCUUUCUCUGUUCACGCUAUUUGGGAAAAGAGAAAGAUGAUGUAUGUAGACGUAGAGCACCAAAUACGGUGGUGCCGUAAACGAGAUGCAUGGGUUCGAGCGUGACCCGUCACCCGAGAAGGCCACGUCCCAAUCAAGUGUGGUGGUCCGUCGCAUGUCUAAAACGAUUCGAAUCCAAAUUUCUUAUUCCGUUUCUCCCAACCUCUUUUUUUUUUUUUCUUUUAUUUUUUUUAUUGCUGAUACUUGAGAAAAAAAAACUCGUCUCAGACUCGAAAAUAAACCGAGUAAAUUUUUUAGUGACUCUGCUAAAAAUGCCUAUGUUUUAAAUUUUAUACAUACUCCAAUUUUUUAACUUUAUAAGUGAUUGAAAUAUCUAGUAUUAUUAUAUUAUAUAUAUAUUUUUUAUAUAACUUAUUUUUAGGGUAAACUUUAAAUAUUAUCUUCAUGAUUUUGUACUUUCUCACUUUAAUAUCCUAUAGUUUAAAAUGUAUCAAUUUAAUAUUAUAUGGUUUUAUUUAUUUAUUUUUCUUCAGUUUAUUCGUUAAUAUUUCGUUAAAUUAUAUACAAAAAAUUUCAAGUACACUAUCUAGAUUUAUCGAAUAUUCACUUUAUUAACUUUUAGUUUUAACUUUGUCAAUAAUUUAACGAAAAAAAAUUAGUAAAGAAAAUAAUAAAAAAAAAGAAAUCACGAGAUAUUAAAUUAAUAUAUUUUAAAUCGCAAGAUAAUAAAAUAAAAAAAAUAUGAAAUCAUAGGGAUGAUAUUUAAAAGUUUUUCUUAUUUCUAUUAUACUACAGUCUACUUUAUAGACAUUGUUUCACUUCUUACACUAUAUUAUUAUUAUUUUUUUCCAAAGGAAACAUUCCACUAUUCCUUUUCACUACAACAAAAACGAUCUAUAGCGACACUUUUAAAUGUAGGUACAUGUCAAAAAAGUGCUGCUAACUAAAAUUACCGACACUUUUAAAAAGUGUUGCUAUAUAUGGGGUCGCUAGGUAUAUAGUGAUAAUUAAAGAGUGUCGCUAUAAUCUAAAAGAGUGCUGCUAAUUUACCAACACUUAUUUAAGCAUUUAGCAACCUUCGAAACUCUAUCUCGUUGGCUGCGGUGGUGGAGGAGGAAGACAGGAAAGGCUUUUCGUCUAGAAUUUCAGUGGAUUGAGUGAAGAGAGAAGAAAAGAUGGUAAUUGAUUUUUCUUUUUUUUUUCUUUUCUGUUUGUAAUCGGGCCAAAUGGACUGGGUGUGGUGGGUUGAGUAGAGUAAUCUUUUAUUUUUGGUUGGAUUGGGCUUUAUAUUUAGGCAUUAGUAGAUAUUUUUUUAAGUUUUAGGAUAAUGGGACACAUACUCAAAAGUGUCCCAAACAUGUGUCCCUAUAACCUAAUUCUGUUGUAGUGUUUAUCAAUUCCUACAUUAUAAACAAUAAAACACCUUUAUAUAUAUAAUUGUUACACUAUAAAA